This 254-nucleotide ribosomal RNA is filed under the name uncultured bacterium. RNAcentral describes it as "partial 16S ribosomal RNA". It matches the Rfam family "Bacterial small subunit ribosomal RNA", at positions 524 to 776 of the family's 1533-position model. The record is from RNAcentral.
UACGGAGGGUGCAAGCGUUAUCCGGAUUCACUGGGUUUAAAGGGUGCGUAGGUGGGCAGGUAAGUCAGUGGUGAAAUCUCCGAGCUUAACUCGGAAACUGCCGUUGAUACUAUUUGUCUUGAAUAUUGUGGAGGUAAGCGGAAUAUGUCAUGUAGCGGUGAAAUGCUUAGAUAUGACAUAGAACACCAAUUGCGAAGGCAGCUUACUACACAAACGAUUGACGCUGAGGCACGAAAGCGUGGGGAUCAAACAGG